GAUGAACGCUGGCGGCGUGCCUAAUACAUGCAAGUCGAGCGGAGCGGGGACGUGUGAGUAACACGUGGAUACCCUCCUCUAAGACUGGGGUAACUUCCGGAAACCGGUGCUAAUCCGGCUACUUAUAGAUGGAUCCGGGCUGGAUUAGCUAGUUGGUAAGGUAACGGCUUACCAAGGCAACGAUGCAUAGCCGACCUGAGAGGGUGAUCGGCCACACGGGAACUGAGCCACGGACCAGACUCCUACGGGAGGAAGCAGUAGGGAAUAGUCCGCAAUGGGCGAAAGCCUGACGGAGCCACGCCGCGUGAGUGAGGAAGGCCUUCGGUUCGUAAAACUCUGUUAUUGGGGAAGCGGUACCUAAACAGAAAGCACCGGCUAACUACGUGCCAGCAGCCGCGGUAAUAC
RNAcentral lists this ribosomal RNA (405 nucleotides) under uncultured bacterium. Its description in RNAcentral is "partial 16S ribosomal RNA". It matches the Rfam family "Bacterial small subunit ribosomal RNA", at positions 28 to 526 of the family's 1533-position model. The record is from RNAcentral.